This 492-nucleotide ribosomal RNA is filed under the name uncultured bacterium. RNAcentral describes it as "partial 16S ribosomal RNA". It matches the Rfam family "Bacterial small subunit ribosomal RNA", at positions 29 to 507 of the family's 1533-position model. The record is from RNAcentral.
AGUGAACGCUGGCGGUAGGCCUAACACAUGCAAGUCGAACGGCAGCACAGUAAGAGCUUGCUCUUACGGGUGGCGAGUGGCGGACGGGUGAGGAAUACAUCGGAAUCUACUUUUUCGUGGGGGAUAACGUAGGGAAACUUACGCUAAUACCGCAUACGACCUACGGGUGAAAGCCGGGGAUCUUCGGACCUUGCGCGAUCGAAUGAGCCGAUGUCGGAUUAGCUAGUUGGCGGGGUAAAGACCAACCAAGGCGACGAUCCGUAGCUGGUAUGAGAGGAUGAAUAGCCACAUUGGACGAAACACACGCGCCACAUUCAGAAGGGAGGCAGCAGGAGGAAAUAUUGGACAAUGGGCGCAAGCCUGAUCCAGCCAUACCGCGUAGGUCAAGAAGGCCUUCGGGUUGUAAAGCCCUUUUGUUGGGAAAGAAAAGCAGCAGGUUAAAACCCCGCUGUUCUGACGGUACCCAAAGAAUAAGCACCGGCUAACUUCGUG